CUCGGUUUGAAAGUAGGAUUUGAGCAGCUGUUAGAAGUUUCUAAAUUGAAUAGUAAGAAACGAAUAUCAUUGCUGCAAUUUUGAGUUCUAUCAGCUUUUUCCUACCUCUAAUGAUAUUUUGGACAAUUAAGUAGUAUCUGCUUCACUGAGCUCUGAAUGUGCUUAACAGCUCUUGUGGGAAAUCACCCAUUCAAAUCUACAUGUGUCUUUUACUUCCCACUGUCUAUCCUAGCAGUUGCUGUCAAGCACAGCUACUUUGGAACUGCUCCAAAAUCCAGACUGAGUCUUAAAAGCCAAAACAGCCCAGUUCUUAACAACUGUUAGGUUUUAAGAUCAGCAGUGCCCAGAGUUGGAAGUUCACUGACAAUUAAUUAGAAGGGAAAUAAAAUCAGAAGUUCAGCAACUGUAGAAGGUUAAUUUCUGCAGAUACCUACUUUUGUACCUACCACUUUGGUUGUAAUGUAGUUGGUACUGCCAUUCAGAAUCUAUGUAGCUUAAAAUUACAGCUAGUCCACAACAUCAUGCAAAUGGGAACUCUCAGACAUCUUACAGAAAUAAUUUCUUUUCAAAGAACAGACCUUUACAUUUUCUAUUUGUCUAGAUAAACAGAAUAAAUAACUGACAAACACCACUUACAAGUCUCUGCUGAUCAUAUCUAUUAGUAAGCCAUCCGUUCUCUUCCUGUUUACUAGGUACCACACCAUGCCUCCAAAGUGCCUUGUUGAACGGAGCAAAUCAUACUUCGCAUGUUUCUCAAUGUCAUCGUACGUUCGAUGAUGAACUCUGAUAUAGUCAGCUGAAUCUGGCUCAAACUGAGCAAUGCACAUGUUAAGGAUAUCCUCAUGACGGUCUUGCUGAAACACAGUCCCGAGGUGUUCGUCCUUAAAUAAUACUGGGGGAAUAACUCUGCGCCCUUCUUUUGGGAAGAAUAUCUGUAUCAUUCGGUCUCGCUCUUCCCAGGUUGCCUUACGUAAUACACCAUUCGGUUCUCUAACUACAAUGAAACGUUCACGAUGCGGAGUGGCAUAAGUUAGAUCUGUAAACACGUAUUUCGCAGUCUCAGUUCCCUCGAGGACUUUGUCGUCUGCUAACACAUCAUCAAUGGGCUCUCGUUCGUCCAACACUGGUGGCAUUCUCAGCUUCUCCUUAGCCUCCACAACGGCUUUUCUGGUGGCCUCCUGCAGCUGAGCCUCCGUCAGCAGCUGGUACUUGGGCGGCUUCAGCUCCUGCCGAACCGGACGGAAAACCUUCUGCAGGUUCAGCCCCGUCAUUCUGUACAGCAAAUCCUGAACCGCUUCAUCCGUAAAAGCGGGCUUCGCGUCCCUUUUUUCGCCCGCUCCCGCACCGCCCGCGGGCCCCGCGUCCUGCCCGAGCCCCCGCUGCACGCGCCAUCCCCACAGCGCCCGCGCCACGCGCGAGAGCCGCACGGGCAGCAGAGCGGCACCCUUCGCCGCGAGCGCC
Molecule: long non-coding RNA, 1461 nt
Filed under: Gallus gallus (chicken)
Lineage: Eukaryota; Metazoa; Chordata; Aves; Galliformes; Phasianidae
Source: RNAcentral